This 355-nucleotide transfer-messenger RNA is filed under the name Melioribacteraceae. RNAcentral's name for it is "UM-FILTER-34-10 sp002790395 Standard tmRNA". It matches the Rfam family "transfer-messenger RNA". From Rfam's summary of the family: Bacterial tmRNA, also known as 10Sa RNA or SsrA, is named for its dual tRNA and mRNA-like properties. RNAcentral also lists the same sequence under 1 other name. The record is from RNAcentral. Lineage: Bacteria; Pseudomonadati; Ignavibacteriota; Ignavibacteria; Ignavibacteriales.
GGGGGUGAAUUUUGGCUUCGACGGGAUUAAUUUGGCUUUGAAUAGCGCAUCGUGAACCCCGAGGUCACGUUAAUAAUCGGGAAAAAAAAUAAACGAUAACAAUAGUUACGCUUUAGCUGCCUAAUUAUGGCAGUUCGUUCAACUUUCUUUUUCAUACCAAAGAAUUUUUGAACGUCGUUUAGGUAUGAUAGCCAAAUCAAGAACUUGAGUAGAUGAGGCGAAUUUUUAUCAAGUUAGUUUUGUUAAAUCUUGUUUGUUGGAGUUGACAAAAUGAACCACAAAAAACAAACUAUGUGCGUAGAAGUUCAUUGACUUGUAGUUUCGGACCGGGGUUCGACUCCCCGCACCUCCACAA